AGAGUUUGAUCCUGGCUCAGGAUGAACGCUGGCUACAGGCUUAACACAUGCAAGUCGAGGGGCAGCAUGAUCAAAGCUUGCUUUGAUUGAUGGCGACCGGCGCACGGGUGAGUAACGCGUAUCCAACCUUCCCCUUAGUAGGGCAUAGCCCGGCGAAAGUCGGAUUAAUACCCUAUGUUAUCCGAAGAGGACAUCUGAAUUGGAUUAAAGAUUUAUCGCUAAGGGAUGGGGAUGCGUCUGAUUAGGUUGUUGGCGGGGUAACGGCCCACCAAGCCCACGAUCAGUAGGGGUUCUGAGAGGAAGGUCCCCCACAUUGGAACUGAGACACGGUCCAAACUCCUACGGGAGGCAGCAGUGAGGAAUAUUGGUCAAUGGUCGAGAGACUGAACCAGCCAAGUAGCGUGCAGGAUGACGGCCCUAUGGGUUGUAAACUGCUUUUAUACGGGGAUAAAGUGAGCCACGUGUGGUUUUUUGCAGGUACCGUAUGAAUAAGGACCGGCUAAUUCCGUGCCAGCAGCCGCGGUAAUACGGAAGGUCCGGGCGUUAUCCGGAUUUAUUGGGUUUAAAGGGAGCGCAGGCGGGUUGUUAAGCGUGACGUGAAAUGUAGCCGCUCAACGGCUGAACUGCGUCGCGAACUGGCAGUCUUGAGUGAGUACGACGUCAGCGGAAUUCGUGGUGUAGCGGUGAAAUGCUUAGAGAUUACACAGAACACCGAUUGCGAAGGCAUCUCACGAAGGGUUGAUUGACGCUGAGGCACGAAAGCGUGGGGAUCAAACAGGAUUAGAUACCCUGGUAGUCCACGCAGUAAACGAUGAUGGCUAACCGCUGGUCCAUACGGUUCAGUGGCCAAGCGAAAGCGAUAAGCCAUCCACCUGGGGAGUACGACCGCAAGGUUGAAACUCAAAGGAAUUGACGGGGGCCCGCACAAGCGGAGGAACAUGUGGUUUAAUUCGAUGAUACGCGAGGAACCUUACCCGGGCUCGAACGGCUGGUGAACGAUGCAGAGAUGCAAAGGCCCUUCGGGGCGCCAGUCGAGGUGCUGCAUGGUUGUCGUCAGCUCGUGCCGUGAGGUGUCGGCUCAAGUGCCAUAACGAGCGCAACCCUUGCCGUCAGUUACCAUCAAGUGAUGUUGGGGACUCUGGCGGGACUGCCACCGCAAGGUGUGAGGAAGGGGGGGAUGACGUCAAAUCAGCACGGCCCUUACGUCCGGGGCGACACACGUGUUACAAUGGCGGCCACAGAGGGGCACUACCUGGCGACAGGAUGGGAAUCUCGAAAAGCCGUCUCAGUCCGGAUCGGAGUCUGCAACCCGACUCCGUGAAGCUGGAUUCGCUAGUAAUCGCGCAUCAGCCAUGGCGCGGUGAAUACGUUCCCGGGCCUUGUACACACCGCCCGUCAAGCCAUGAAAGUCUGGGGCGCCUGAAGUCCGUGACCGAGAGGAGCGGCCUAGGGCGAAACAGGUAAUUGGGGCUAAGUCGUAACAAGGUA
Molecule: ribosomal RNA, 1488 nt
Filed under: uncultured rumen bacterium
Lineage: Bacteria
Description: bacterial SSU rRNA
Rfam family: Bacterial small subunit ribosomal RNA
Source: RNAcentral